This 253-nucleotide ribosomal RNA is filed under the name uncultured bacterium. RNAcentral describes it as "partial 16S ribosomal RNA". It matches the Rfam family "Bacterial small subunit ribosomal RNA", at positions 524 to 776 of the family's 1533-position model. The record is from RNAcentral.
UACGUAGGGGGCUAGCGUUGUCCGGAUUUAUUGGGCGUAAAGAGCGUGUAGGCGGCCAGGUAGGUCCGGUGUGAAAACUCGAGGCUUAACCUCGAGAUGUCAUCGGAAACCAUUUGGCUAGAGUCCGGAAGAGGAGAGUGGAAUUCCUGGUGUAGCGGUGGAAUGCGCAGAUAUCAGGAGGAACACCAAUAGCGAAGGCAGCUCGCUGGGACGUUACUGACACUGAGGCGCGAAAGCUUGGGGAGCGAACAGG